This is a long non-coding RNA of Ictalurus punctatus (channel catfish), 1295 nucleotides long. The record is from Ensembl. Lineage: Eukaryota; Metazoa; Chordata; Actinopteri; Siluriformes; Ictaluridae.
GAGAUAAACAGUAAAAGACAACAAAGAGAACUUUGGGUAAGGCUGCAUUCCCCCUUUUGCACUCUCUAGGUAAGUGAGAAGAUUUUUUUGGACAGUUUAACCAGAAAAAAAGACAGCGGAAAGACCGAGGUUGGAAAAAAAAAAACGACAGAAGAUGAUAUAGACACAUUUGAAGAGCAGGUCUGGUUCCCAUUAGACUAAAGGUCCAGGGAUCGGUAUGCUUUGAGAAGGCAGGCUGGUCCCAUAGGAGAGAAGAAACAGGCUGAAGUCACUCCACCCAUUUUGAAAGGGUUGAUAGAAAGUCAGCUGGAAAAGCUCACGCUCUUCUCCUUGUUUGCUUGGAAAGAUGGUCGUGGGGAACCUGGAGCCUAUCCCAGGGAGCAUCGGGCUCAAGGCGGGGUACACCCUGGACAGGGUGCCAAACCAUCGCAGAGACCAGAGUAUCCGGAGGAAACCCCCGCAGCACGGGGAGAAAAUGCAAACUCCACACACACAGGGCCACGAUGGGAAUCGGACCCCCGACCCUGAGGCGAACGGGCGAACGUACUAACCACUAAGCCACCGUGCGCCCCCUCUGAUAGUAGUUCCUGCUGUAAUUACAAUGAUGGUUUAUGUGGAAGGUGAUCAUCAUUUAACUGUAAACAUUGACAGGUUGUUAAAAGAAAAACAGUUGAUAUGGUGAGGUUUAUUUACUGGGGCGGCUGUGGAUCAGGUGAUAGAGAGGGUUGUCCACUAACCGUAGGGAUGGUGGUCCGAUUCCCGGUCUACGUGACUCCUCAUACCAAAGCGUCCUUGGGUGAGACACUGAACCCCAAGUCGCUCCCGAUGCCAAGUUAGCACCUUGCAUGGCAGCUCUGCGACCAUUGGUGUGAGUGUGAAUGGGAGAAUGAGACACAGUGUAAAGCGCUUUGGAUAAAAGCGCUAUAUAAGUGCAGACCAUUUAUUUAACGUUUAAUAAAUUACGAGUCUACAGUGGCAGCACUUUGUACCAGUACAUUUUCUUCCAUGGGAAAAUCUGCACAAGAGGGGGGGUUUAUGCUUUUGUGGCUUCUCAGUAACAUGACAAGCUGAUUUUUUUUUUUUUUCCAUCGUAUUAUCUUCAAGAGAAGCUGGUGAGGGGACAACUAUUUAUAGUUGUUUUAAUAACGCAACUGAAACAGGAACUAGCUUGUUUUGCAGACAAUACACAGCACUGAAUGUACUGUAACUAUGGAUUAAUAAAAGUUCUUCGCUGGUACAUUUUAAAAAAUUGCAAUAGUUGAUAAAUCACUGUGGUACAAGAAGAAUAAAACACG